GUGCUUGCUUUAGCAGCACACAUACUAAAAUUGGAACAGUACAGAGAAGACUAGCAUCGUCCCUGCACAAGGAUGGUAUGCAAAUCAUCAAUAUUUUUGUUUUU
Molecule: small nuclear RNA, 104 nt
Organism: Talpa occidentalis (Iberian mole)
Lineage: Eukaryota; Metazoa; Chordata; Mammalia; Eulipotyphla; Talpidae
Source: RefSeq, a predicted model, not a curated record